AUUGAACGCUGGCGGCAGGCCUAACACAUGCAAGUCGAGCGAGCGGCGGACGGGUGAGUAAUGUAUGGGGACUGUCCGAUAGAGGGGGAUAACUAAUGGAAACGGUGGCUAAUACCGCAUACUGUCGGAUAACCCAUAUGGGAUUAGCUAGUUGGUAAGGUAAUGGCGUACCUAGGCGACGCUCCCUAGCUGGUCUGAGAGGAUGUUCAGCCACACUGGGACUGGGACGCGGCCCAGACUCCUACGGAGUCAGCAGUGGGCAAUAUUGCACAAUGGUCUCAAGCCUGAUGCAGCGACGCCGCGGGGGGGAUGAAGGCUUUCUGGUUGUAAGCCUCUUUCGCUAUCGAACGGAUAGGUGGAGAAGAAGCGCCGGCUAACUACGUGCCAGCAGCCGCGGUAAUAC
Molecule: ribosomal RNA, 403 nt
Filed under: uncultured bacterium
Lineage: Bacteria
Description: partial 16S ribosomal RNA
Rfam family: Bacterial small subunit ribosomal RNA
Source: RNAcentral